AGACUGAACGCUGGCGGCAUGCCUAACACAUGCAAGUCGAACGGCAGCACAGCAGUAGCAAUACUGUGGGUGGCGAGUGGCGGACGGGUGAGGAAUACAUCGGAAUCUACCCUGUCGUGGGGGAUAACUAGUCGAAAGAUUAGCUAAUACCGCAUACGACUGUGAGGUGAAAGCGGAGGACCUUCGGGCUUCGCGCGAUUGGAUGAGCCGAUGUCGGAUUAGCUAGUUGGACGGGUAAACGCCCACCAAGGGCCGAACGAUCCGUAGCUGGUCUGGAGAGGAUGAUCACGCCAACAGUGGGACUGAGAC
This 309-nucleotide ribosomal RNA is filed under the name uncultured soil bacterium. Its description in RNAcentral is "bacterial SSU rRNA". It matches the Rfam family "Bacterial small subunit ribosomal RNA", at positions 26 to 325 of the family's 1533-position model. The record is from RNAcentral.